GCCAGGUAUGGCGGUGCAUGCCUAUAGUCCCAGCUACUUGGGAGGCUGAGGUAGGAGGAUGGCUUGAGCCCAGGAGGCAGAGGUUGCAGUGAGCUGAGAUCGAGCCACUGCACUCCAGCCUGGGCAACACAGCCCGACCCUGUCUCAA
Pongo abelii (Sumatran orangutan) is the source of this 148-nucleotide unclassified non-coding RNA. It matches the Rfam family "Metazoan signal recognition particle RNA". Rfam says of the family: The signal recognition particle (SRP) is a universally conserved ribonucleoprotein. The record is from Ensembl. Lineage: Eukaryota; Metazoa; Chordata; Mammalia; Primates; Hominidae.